This 460-nucleotide ribosomal RNA is filed under the name uncultured bacterium. Its description in RNAcentral is "partial 16S ribosomal RNA". It matches the Rfam family "Bacterial small subunit ribosomal RNA", at positions 338 to 795 of the family's 1533-position model. The record is from RNAcentral.
CCUACGGGAGGCAGCAGUGAGGAAUAUUGGUCAAUGGGCGCGAGCCUGAACCAGCCAAGUAGCGUGAAGGCUGACUGCCCUACGGGUUUUAAACUUCUUUUAUAAAGGAAUAAAGUGAGGCACGUGUGCCUUUUUGCAUGUACUUUAUGAAUAAGGAUCGGCUCACUCCGUGCCAGCAGCCGCGUUAAUACGGAGGAGCCGAGCUUUAUCCGGAUUUCUUGGGUUUCAAGGGAGCGUAGAUGGGUGGUUAAGUCAGGUGUGAAAGUUUGCGGCUCAACCGUAAAAUUGCAAUUGAUACUGGCAGUCUUGAGUACAGUUGAGGUAGGCGGAAUUCGUGGUGUAGCGGUGAAAUGCAGAGAUAUCACGAGGAACUCCGAGUGCGAAGGCAGCUUACUAAACGGCGACUGACGUUGAGGCUCGAAAGUGUGGGUAUCAAACAGGAUUAGAUACCCUUGUAGUC